Molecule: ribosomal RNA, 272 nt
Filed under: uncultured bacterium
Lineage: Bacteria
Description: partial 16S ribosomal RNA
Source: RNAcentral
CUGCUGCCUCCCGUAGGAGUUUGGACCGUGUCUCAGUUCCAAUGUGGGGGGCCUUCCUCUCAGAACCCCUACGCAUCGUCGCCACGGUGGGCCGUCACCCCGCCGUCUAGCUAAUGCGCCGCAUGCCCAUCCGCCACCGGAUCGCUCCUUUGGCCACCGGAGGAUGCCCUCCGGUGGCGUCACGGGGUAUUAGGCCGCGUUUCCGCGGGUUAUCCCCCUGUGGCGGCCAGGUUGCAUACGUGUUACUCACCCGUGCGCCGGUCGCCGGCGGG